Molecule: long non-coding RNA, 5763 nt
Organism: Chinchilla lanigera (long-tailed chinchilla)
Lineage: Eukaryota; Metazoa; Chordata; Mammalia; Rodentia; Chinchillidae
Exons: 4
Source: RefSeq, a predicted model, not a curated record
CAAAUCCACGGAUUACGGCCUUCAGUGCGCCCGCAGAAUCCCUUCACGGCCACUGGAGAUGUGUGCGUGACCAGACAACCCAAGACGGUAACCCGGAGACACUUCACUGGGUCACACCAAAGCCAGGUGACACAGUAAGAGACCACGGGAUCCCGGGCUUGGCUUUAUCCAGCACAGAUGGAAAAUCUCAUUGUUCCUCUCUCCGCCCCGAGCCCCCUGAGCCACUGGACCUCAGCAAGCUUCAGGAAGCCACGGCUCUGCCGGGACCCCAGGUCACAGCCAAGGCCCUCGGAGACGGGGUGGGCAGCAGGCCACGGGCCCUCCGUGGGGCCCGCCUGGGAGGUCCUGGAGGUCUGCACGCAGCGGCUUCCUUUCCCGCGUGGCGUUUCCGGAGCAGAGAAGCCUCGCAGGAAGUGGAGACCAGCAGAGCAAACAACGGAACAACAGCGGGAGGAAGAGCCGAAAAUAAAUCAGGCAGACAGGCCAGGGGACGGGCUGGGGCCAUCUGCACCCUGGGCUCUUGGGGACAGCAUUCUGCUACAGCACCUACCUUCCUUUGAGGUUGUCCUGCCUCCCUGCCACCCACCCCUCCACCUACUUCAGGAUGGGUGUGUGCCCAGGCCACCUGGAGUAUCACAGAUGAGGAAACUGAGGCACAAAGCGGUUGAGUUGGAGCUUCCCAAGAACUGUCAAGGCACCAAACAGAAGCUCACUGUGGGAAGCCGCAGAAAGAACCUUUAUGCUCACAGGAACCCAGUUCUGCAGUCUGAGAGAACUCCUACUCAUCCUUCAAAACCCAGCUCAGAUAAUAGCACGCCCCAAGAGAUGUUCUGAUCUACACUAACAUUACUCAGGCCAUCUCUGUGCUGGAGCCUCACCACAUUCAGCUGGAGCUGUACAUUGGCUUGCUGGGCCAUCCCUGUGGCCAGCAGGCUCUGUAUGAGCUGGACUUUGAAUAUUUUGUUGUUGGUGGUGGUUUUUUUGAGACAGAGUCUUGCUGUUCAGGCUGGCCUCAAAUUUGUGGCAAUCCUCCUUCCUCAGCCUCCUGAGUGCCGCAAUUACAGGCACGCGCCACCACACCCAGCUCUUGGACUCUGAAUAUUAACACGGUCGCAACCAUUACUGUCCAUAGGGUCCGCUCUAUCUGGAGGCUGCUGAGAGAAGGAAAAUAAUAAUUUCCAGUCCUCAGCCUCUUCCCAACGCCAACCACUAUUCUGGGUACUUUACAUACUUCACCCCUGCGAGUCUGCAAAUCUCCUAGGAAGGGGAUGUGAGUAUUCUGCAGAGCAGGAAACUGAGGCUCGGGGAGGUGAGAACAACUUUGAACGGGCCGCACGCCCAGAGCUCCCUCAGCUCACUGGCGCUCUGUGAGCCUGAGCUGUGUUCCUGCAAGGGGCCUCUGUCCCCACCCGCGGCCACCCACACACCACCUCCCAGGAUAACGGACCAGAGCCGCCCCAGAUGGCCCCUGCUGGGCCGGCUCCUCCCUCCGGCCCGCCCCUGACCCGCAGGUCCUGCAGGGCUGCUGGAAGGGGCAGAAGAAAGGGCUGGCCCUCGGACGGCCUCCUCUUUGUGUCCCCUCCACGGUGGCCAGAGGAUAGAGCUGCUCUCCCUGUUCCCUCCUGGCGUUUCAUUCUCGGAGACAACAAAGCCCCGGAGGCCGGCCGCCCCUCCUCCGCCGAAGCCGGGCCACCUGUCCCCGCCGUCUUGCACAAGCUUUGCGCUCCAGGCGGCCCGCUGCCCACCGGUGCGGGUGUCCUGAGGCUCCCGCCAAGGCCCAGCUGCUCCUCUGCCCACAGGUGGCCAAGACAUUCAAGGCAGGGAGAAGUCCCAGGCCAGGGCGACCUCUCCCGGGAGUGGUGCUGCCACUGACGCAGCCCCAGGCUCGGGCCAAGCGGGGGCCGCCUUGUGCUGAGGUCCUGGGCGCCGGUGCCCUUGUCUGAGACCGUCGGAGGGCAGCGCCCAUUGCUCGCUUGUCCCUUCACUGACCGCCCGCACGGACUCAUUGUGUGGCCUGGCCUGGCCGGGGAGGUGGCCAAAGGACAGCCCGACCUUCGUGCUUCCCAGGGACCCCUGCAAGGGACGGGGGCAGAAAGACAGCUGUUUCGCCGCCACCGCCACCACCCCCAGCAAGCAAAGCUGUGCCAGAGCAGCCCGGCUGGCGGGACAGCAUGGCCCUGAAGCAGUUGCAGCCCGGAAAUCUGACUUCAGGACAAGCCUGUCCCGGGUCUAACCAGGUUUCAUCCAUAGGCCUUCAUAAUCCAGGGUCUUGUUUGAUUUUUGAGACAGGGUCUUCUAUGUAGUCGAGGCUGGCCUUGAACUUGCGAUCCUCCUGCCUCAGCCUUCCGAAUGCUGGGGCCACAGCCGUGUAACACCAUGACCUGCUCUUACCCAGGGUCUUGCUUGCCAUGAGCUCCACAGGGCAGGUACUGGCUGUCCGUCUGCAGAUGGCUUCCCUUUUGGUUCUCUCGGGAGGGUCUCAGUGACAGUGUAGCGGUUUGGUGCUGUCCCGCUUAGCGGGCUGUGACUGAGGUGUCAUCCAUCAGCACAUCACACUACCCGGGGCCCCACGAUGGGUUCAAGGCUGGAUGUGCUGGCCCAGUGAGACUCAGUUCCAGGACUUAGGUGGGGUACCUUAGACAACAGACGAUGUUCCCGCUGGUCUCAGAACUUUGGAAAUGUUUGCUUGCACCCCAAGAAGGACUGGGGGAGAGAGCUUGCCUGAGAGCAAAGCAGAGAUCAGCACAUCCUGUGGCACUGAGAACCUAGAUCAAGCUGUACCUGAAGCUGGACAUACCUAGACUUUCCAGCUUUAAGGACCAACUUCUUUUCACCCAAGUCAUUUUGACUUAAGCUUUCUGGCCCUCAUCUAAAAGACCUGGCUAAUGAUAGGAAGAAAACGGAGGAAAAGGAGGUGGAGAGUGGUUGGGUCUGAGCUGGGAGAAGUAUCGGUGAAUCAACUUGGUUUGGCAGGAGUUUAGUAAUGGAGAGGUCAGACACUGCGUAUGAGGCUGUUUGUAUUACUGCAGCGUAUCCCCUUCUUGCGCCAUCAAUAUAGUCUACUGGGGACAAAAAUGUGCUGUGCAGUGGACUGUUUUGUGGGACAUGAGGAAGGAGCCGCAUUCCCGACCCGGAUGAUGUGGUGUGAGAUGGAGCACAGCUGUGAAAGCUGGACACAGGCUGACGCGGCCACCGUGGGACAGGUCACCUGCACGAGGGAGCCGCGUCUCAGCUGUCGGGGGCUGGGCCAGGUCAGCCCGGGGCCAAAGGCUCCCUUGGACCCACGGAAACCUCUGUGUGGCCUGGGACUCCUGCACUCUGAAGGCAGCCGUGGCCUCCACGCGGCCCCUCUGCACAUUUAUGUCCUAACACGCUUGUUUGUGACCAUCCAAGGGCAGCGGGCCUGUCUAUGCCAUUUCUGUGUCCCAGGCACAGGGCUUGCUGCAUAAAAACUACGUUAAGACAUUACUGAAGGAAUAAAGCAGUAUUUGCAAUCGCUACCCAUUGCAAAGUGUGGACGGAGGCGCUACCGGAAGCUCCUCCUCCAGCCACAAACACACAGACGCUGGAGGCAGCAGAACCACGUAAAAGAGCACACAGUCAAGGUCAAACACAAGAAGAGAAGGCAUCACACUCCCAUGGGAACGGAGCGGCUGAAAUCCCCCAUGGAGACCGGGCACAGGGAGUCCGGGGACCCCGGCUCUGCGGGGUGCUCUGCUAUUGAUGGCCCCACAGUCAAAGAUGACAACUCACCGUCACGGCAGAGACAGCAGGCAUGAAGCCUGUCAGGAAACUCAGGGAUUACAGCAAGCUCAAAGAGACGGUAAGAUAACUAAGGUCCCUCCGGACGUGCAGGGGACAGCCCUCUUGCAGGAAACGCCCAGCUUCCCUGUAUAAAAUGCCAGCGUCUGCUAGAACUGAGCCGUCUAGGGUAUGUGUCUUACCCAACCCAGCAGCAGCGCUCGGUAACGAGCAGCUGCUCUGUGUCAUCCAGGGAAUAACGACGAGAAGAAAGUCCGACUUCCGCGUUUUUAUAUAUUUCCAGUCCGUGGUUGGUAGAAUGCAUGCACGUGGAACCCAUGGACUAGGAGGACGCGCUGGUAUGUUUAAAAGUCAAAGAAAUAAUGGGUGAGACAGGACCCCUAACACAAGGGCUAAGCAAGCUGAAAAAGAACUAAGUAGGAGUGUAGAAAUGGAAAUACCGAGUGGCCCUGGGGUGUCGCUGCAGGGGACUCAGAGUCGGGGAGUCUGCGCCCCAAUUCAGUGGCGUGUGGAGUUUGCGGCUUUAGCGCAGCCACGCCGCCCUGGACUCCGCUUCCGUGGCUGAAAAGCGCCCACAUGAUGCCGGCCGUGCGGCCCCAGAGCAGGACGCUGGGAAAGUAUGAGUCGGGUCACCACAAAUGGUUUCCAUCCGUCCCUGCCCGGCACAGUUCGGUCGUCCCACAUCUGCAGAACACCUGGAAGCAGCAUGCCGUCACGCAGGGGGUGCUGCGGGGCUCUGAUACGCAGACGGAGGGAGGACCGGCUCCACACACGGGGACGCCUGAGUGCCUGGGUCCUGAAGUACAGCUCCCAUGCCUCCCCCGCCUGUGCCACGUCCUGCUGAUGUGCGGGGCGGGGAGAAUCCCCGGCCAGACCCACCCAGGGCACGCAGCGCGGGCAGCCGCGGGUCCUGCCCUCGUGUCUCUCCCACGGUGCCCUCCUGGCAAGAAGCGUCCUGUCCCGCCUAGGUGUCCUCAUCCGUGACAUGCAGGUGGUGACACUUCUCUCAGACAUCCUGCUGAGGACACGACUGGCGCUCAACAGAUGCCGCAGCUAUUCUGUCUCCCCGCUCUUCCUUUCUUCAGAGAGUGACAGCUUUCAGCAAGGUAGUCCAAAGCCACAGGAAGCUGGGCAGAGAAACAAGGGCCAGGCCCACCCGCACGCCCGCUGGGUGGCUUCCAUAGGUGUCCCUCACUGCCUGGUCUGCAGUUUCCUCGUGUGCUAGGCGUCUCCCCGGGGUCUCUGCAAUAGCCACGUCCUCCUCUUCCUUAAUACAGAGCUCUGAUUUCAUUUGGUGCUGCCCACUGUGACCAGGCUCUCGUGCAGGUGGGGGAAGUCCUGGGACUCAGCUCUGGCCAGUGACACAGAGAUCUAAGUUCUGUUGGGGACUGCAAAGGGAAAGCCUCCCUAGGAGAAAAUUCUUCCCCAUUCCUAGCUGUCCAUCUUCCAUGUGCCUGGAUAGCAGAGAACAAGGCCCGGAGCUGCUGCAGCCAUCUUGUAACCAUGAGUCAACAACAACAACAACAAAGUCCACUUUUUCUAUCAUGAGCCCCCCUGCCCCAUAUUCUCUUACAUUCAUGCAGUAAAGGACUAAUUGUGAUUUUAAGGCAAAAGAAAGAAGAGACCGUUUAUUUCUCCUUUUGGAGAAAGUUCCAAGGCUGGAUGUGGGCCUCAAGCCAACCAGCCUUGCUCUUCAGCCAAUCAGCUAAGCAAACAGGAAGUGACUAUCCAAACAUUUGGAGCGGCAGGAGGCUGGCCCAGUCAGCCUCUGCGGAGGUCCCCUGCCAGCCUGUGACUUCUGUCCCCAGCUGGGAGCGCCUCUGAAGUCCAGGAUGGGGUCCCUCCUCAGGAAGCCGCCCCUUCUCAUCGCCCCACCUCUAGUCUGGCCCAGACCACCUUCCACUCAGAGCUGGGGAGACCACCGCCCUCUUCCCCUCCCCCUGCCUCGGUCACAGCUGCAGGCGGGGCAAUUCCUUAUUGAAAUGCAAGUCGCUGCCAUCA